This 703-nucleotide ribosomal RNA is filed under the name uncultured bacterium. RNAcentral's name for it is "bacterial SSU rRNA". It matches the Rfam family "Bacterial small subunit ribosomal RNA", at positions 122 to 812 of the family's 1533-position model. The record is from RNAcentral.
UAACCUGCCCCUGUGCGGGGGAUAACAGGAGGAAACUCCUGCUAAUACCGCAUAGCCAUGAGCACCGCAUGGAGCUCAUGCCAAAUAUCCUUUCGGGGAUAGCGCAGGGAUGGACCUAUGGCGCAUUAGCUGGUUGGCGGGGCAACGGCCCACCAAGGCAACGAUGCGUAGCCGGCCUGAGAGGGCGGACGGCCACAUUGGGACUGAGACACGGCCCAGACUCCUACGGGAGGCAGCAGUAGGGAAUUUUCGGCAAUGGGGGAAACCCUGACCGAGCAACGCCGCGUGAGCGAAGAAGGCCUUCGGGUCGUAAAGCUCUGUUGUAAAGGAAGAACGGCGCAUACAGGAAAUGGUAUGCGAGUGACGGUACUUUACCAGAAAGCCACGGCUAACUACGUGCCAGCAGCCGCGGUAAUACGUAGGUGGCGAGCGUUAUCCGGAAUCAUUGGGCGUAAAGAGGGAGCAGGCGGCCGCAAGGGUCUGUGGUGAAAGACCRAAGCUAAACUUCGGUAAGCCAUGGAAACCGGGCGGCUAGAGUGCGGAAGAGGAUCGUGGAAUUCCAUGUGUAGCGGUGAAAUGCGUAGAUAUAUGGAGGAACACCAGUGGCGAAGGCGACGGUCUGGGCCGCAACUGACGCUCAUUCCCGAAAGCGUGGGGAGCAAAUAGGAUUAGAUACCCUAGUAGUCCACGCCGUAAACGAUGG